GAGGAUAUAGCUUAGGUGGUAGAAUGUGUGCUUAGCAUGCACAAGGUCCUGGGUUCAAUCCCCAGUACCUCCA
This 73-nucleotide transfer RNA is filed under the name Camelus bactrianus (Bactrian camel). It matches the Rfam family "tRNA". From Rfam's summary of the family: Transfer RNA (tRNA) molecules are approximately 80 nucleotides in length. Their secondary structure includes four short double-helical elements and three loops (D, anti-codon, and T loops). Further hydrogen bonds mediate the characteristic L-shaped molecular structure. tRNAs have two regions of fundamental functional importance: the anti-codon, which is responsible for specific mRNA codon recognition, and the 3' end, to which the tRNAs corresponding amino acid is attached (by aminoacyl-tRNA synthetases). tRNAs cope with the degeneracy of the genetic code in two manners: having more than one tRNA (with a specific anti-codon) for a particular amino acid; and 'wobble' base-pairing, i.e. permitting non-standard base-pairing at the 3rd anti-codon position. Lineage: Eukaryota; Metazoa; Chordata; Mammalia; Artiodactyla; Camelidae. The record is from Rfam by way of RNAcentral. RNAcentral also lists the same sequence under 1 other name.